GUCUAUCAGUCACAGGGAUAAGACAGAGGAAGUUAAAAAAAAUAAAAAUAAUAAAAAUAAUAAUAACUACAACUUUUAUUUGAUCACAUUUUUAUUUAUUAUUACCGUUCAGAGUCUUAUUACAAAUGAAGUUUUCCUCUAAAAAGUACCAGCAGUGAUUGGUUCCUUCUCCAUAGUUUUGCUGUUUUAGUUCAAACACUGUCUUUUAUUGUAACUCCAACAGCAACAGAUCCAUGUUGAAGCAACUGCAGAGACGUUGCUCAAUCACAGUUACCUCAGGUUAAAUAAGAAAAAAAAGAUGUUUGUCGUUGAGAUACUACGAGGGUAAACAAGAAUACUCUCAACGAAUAAUGCAAUACUAGUAUGUACUGUAUGUAUAACAGUAGCCAGAAAUACUCUUCAGGUACAACACACACAGAGAUGGAGAUGAGAAACAGUCGUAUGGUCAUGUUGGUUUUUUCUGCCUGUUGGCUCUGAGUCUGUGAGUCUCAGCUUUUUAUAUUAAUAUUCAGAAAUGUAAUAAGUCAACAGGGAGAAUGUUGAAUUUCAAGUGUCUAAUUUUCACUAUGUAAAUGAAUGUUUGUUUGGAAGUGGAAGCAAAACAACUUAAGUUGCCAAGUUUGACUUUUUCUUUAUUUCAUUUAAUUUUUUCAAGUUGAAUUUUCAAAUUAUUUUUAAAGGAUUUUUUUUUGUAUGUGUGUGUGUGUGUGUGUGUGCACUGGUCUGGUGAAGAACAAACCACUAACACCUGACAGUGUUUUAUUGUUCAGAUUAACGUAUUGCUGGUCCAACCUCUCAGUCUUGUUUUAUGCUAACUGCUAAUGAUGCUACAGUACGGUGAUCCAAACGUGUGUGUUGUUUUCAACAGCAUUACAUCUUGUUUUUCACACAAACAAACAAUGAUUCAAUGACUUUCCUGUUGUUGUAUUUUAUUAUUAAUUUUUAAAUAUUAUUUCUGCCAUUGAACCGUAGCAGGUUUGUUAUGUUCCUCGUCAAUCGUCGUCGUACUCCAACAACACGUUCUGUCAUUUCUGUGACUUAUUCAGUCACUUCUGUGAUGUCAGUUCAGUCAUUCAACAGUAACCGUGAUGAAAUCCCAUGCACGUCCAGGUUUAAUGUUCCUUCUGGAUUUAUUUCUCGUGGGUAACAAACGGACCUACAGUCUGUCACGGCGUCGUCUGUACAACGUAAGCUUCUACUAACACCACGUACUCCGUCAGCCGUCAGUGGUUGGUGGAGAGACGUAAGCACUGCUUGUCUGAGGACGUGUCAAAGGCAUUUGGAGUUGUUGUUGUUAUGAAAGUGAUAAAUAUGGUUGCGUUUAGCCGUCUAUGGUAAAUGGUCGCAGAGAAACAAAAAAAUAUGGCUCAGAACAGUCUGUAAGAGUGAAACCAACUUCCGUACCAGUGGAACGUAGGCACAUCAUCUGUGUAUGGAUGGCUGUAAAUGGAAUUAUAGAUGUUGUUAUAAGCUGCACAGGCCAUAGAAAAAAAAAAAACCAACACAAUAUGACAACAAUAGUAACAAUAAUAAUAAAAACAACACAACAACAGGUGACAAGAGUGAUGCACACGAUGGUACUGACAGAAUAAGACGUAAACAUCGGCUCCGUGACCAGUGUAAGUGAUGGUGAAGCAGUUCCAUGGUUUUACAUGAAUCCUGUCCAACGUUACCGUCUGUGAAGGUUUUUUUUCUCCACUGAAUUUACCGCUCUCUCAAAAGCAACCGUUACAUAGAUUACCAGAUGUGACAGGAUGAAGUUUAUUGAAAAAUAUUUCUAAAUAAAUUGGCUGUUUAUGUCAGAAGAUUUCAACAUCAUUUCAUGUCGUUUCACGGUUCAGUCUGAGGCCGAAUCACGUUGUGUUUAAAGUUCAUUAUUCUCACUUUUGCUAUUGUUGACCAGCUUUUCUUCAGUGGUCGGGGGAAAACAGAAUGAGUCGGAACGUCGUUAGUGAGACGCUGAUGUAAAAUGCAUGCUGGGUAAUGAUAAUUGCAUCUUUCAUUCGCAGCAUUUCCUCUGUGUCCCCUACAGAUGAGGCAUGUUUUUGAGGCACAGUGUGAGACUGGGAUGGUACAGACAAAACCACUGUGUCUGUGUGUGUCUGUGUGUGUGUGUGUGUGUGUGUGUGUGUGUGGUCAGUACUGUUUCACAAAGAAACACAGACAUUCUCUCCAGGUGUCGUCCUUGCUUUUCGUCCAAAAGUGCUUGAUUCGGGAUCACAACUCUUUGUCUUUCUCUUAUAAAUAUUAUAACACUUUAUUACACGUUGGUCUUAACCCUUAAUGUCAUAAACAAAAAAACAAAAGCAAAAUAUCAAAACAUUAAGUAUGACAAAUUGCAACAUUACAUCAUAAGUAGAAUCCAAACCCAAAAACAUCAGCAGAGGUUGUAAAAACGUUGUGCUUCUUUAACUUCACUUUUUCAAGUCCUCCACUGCCCUAGUUGUGUUUAACUUUAAACUUUGUUAUAUUCGCUAUAUGUUUAUAUAUUUAUAUAUAGAUAAAUGUACACGUAUAUCCGCAUUGAGGUCGGUCUCUUGGGGCAAGCAGAGGGCAGACAAAGAGGCUUCUGGAAGCGUCCUUCUUCUUCUUCUUCCCUCUGUCUCUGGUUUGUCCUUUCCUCCUCAUUCAUAUAUUUUUUUAUUCGUCCAUUCACUCGCUCCUUCAACAGUUCUCCCUCCUGUCUUUGUCAUUCAGCGACUCCCAGCGUCCCAAAGGUUAGGACAGACAGUUUCUGUGAAAAAGAAUGAUAUUCCAGGCGUUCCACCUCUCUUUCACUUUCUUCUUGGAAGUCAUGUUCCUUUGCUUUAAUCCCUUAGGUCUUUUGUCAUCUUUGGUUGGGUGUCCGACACUUUGGUGUGUCUCGGGAAUUGGGCUGUCAAGGUUCUGCAGUCCUGGGGAGCGUAGAUAUAUGAGAGGGUACGGGCAUGGUCGGGGAGGGUGGGUUCAGGAGAGGGGGAGGCGACAAUGUGACACCGUGUUAUGGAUAUCAUAAAUCUGAUCAGGUUGA
Cynoglossus semilaevis (tongue sole) is the source of this 3010-nucleotide long non-coding RNA. RefSeq lists it as uncharacterized. Lineage: Eukaryota; Metazoa; Chordata; Actinopteri; Pleuronectiformes; Cynoglossidae. The record is from RefSeq and is a predicted model, not a curated record. The transcript is spliced from 2 exons.